Molecule: ribosomal RNA, 483 nt
Filed under: uncultured bacterium
Lineage: Bacteria
Description: bacterial SSU rRNA
Rfam family: Bacterial small subunit ribosomal RNA
Source: RNAcentral
UCAGGACGAACGCUGGCGGCCGUGCCUAACACAUGCAAGUCGAGCGAGGAGAGUCCUUCGGGAUGAUCCUAGCGGCGGACGGGUGAGUAACACGUGGGCGAACCUGCCUCAUAGAGAGGAAUAGCCUUCCGAAAGGGAGAUUAAUACCUCAUAACAUUGCAGUUUCGCAUGGAACAAGCAAUUAAAGGAGUAAUCCGCUAUGAGAUGGGCCCGCGGCGCAUUAGCUAGUUGGUGAGGUAACGGCUCACCCAAGGCGACGAUGCGUAGCCGACCUGAGAGGGUGAUCGGCCACAUUGGGACUGAGACACGGCCCAGACUCCUACGGGAGGCAGCAGUGGGGAAUAUUGCACAAUGGGGGAAACCCUGAUGCCAGCAACGCCGCGUGAGUGAUGACGGCCUUCGGGUUGUAAAAGCUCUGUCUUCAGGGACGAUAAUGACGGUACCUGAGGAGGAAGCCACGGCUAACUACGUGCCAGCCGCCGC